This 1738-nucleotide ribosomal RNA is filed under the name uncultured eukaryote. RNAcentral describes it as "partial small subunit ribosomal RNA". It matches the Rfam family "Eukaryotic small subunit ribosomal RNA", at positions 174 to 1733 of the family's 1831-position model. The record is from RNAcentral.
AAAUCCUGACUAGUAAUGGAAAGGAUGGAUUUAUUACAUACAAAAACCAAUGCAUUAAAUUGUUAAAGAUUUAAUGGAAAUUUAUUGGUGAUUCAUAAUAACUUUACGAAUCGUUUUGCCUUGUGCUGACGAUAGUUCAUUCAAAUUUCUGCCCUAUCAACUUUCGAUGGUAGUAUAGAGGACUACCAUGGUGGUAACGGGUAACGGAGAAUCAGGGUUUGAUUCCGGAGAAGGAGCCUGAGAAACGGCUACUACUUCUAAGGAAGGCAGCAGGGCGCAAAAUUACCCAACCCGACACGGGGAGGUAGUGACAAAAAAUAACAAUAUUUGUCAAUAUAUUUGUCAAAUAAUUGGAAUGAGUACAAUCUAAACCCCUUAACGAGUAACAAUUGGAGGGCAAGUCUGGUGCCAGCAGUCGCGGUAAUUCCAGCUCCAAUAGCAUAUAUUAAAGUUGUUGCAGUUAAAAAGCGCGUAGUUGGAUUUUAAGGUAUCACGUUUUGGUUUACUUAAAAGAGUAUAAUUUUAUUAAUAACUCUCCUUACUAGAUAUUCACAAUUAUUUUUAAUUAAAUAGUUGGUUUUAUUCGAAAGGAUAAAAUGCUUAAUAGGUCUGGGAAUUAAGAUGUGGUUUAUUUACGAGGCAACUUGUUGAAUAAAUCUGCAAAUAACUAGUAAAUAGGAUUCUGAUUCAUUUACUUUGAGUAAAUUAGAGUGUUCAAAGCAAGCUUAUUAUUUAAUAAGCAAUGAAUACUAUUAGCAUGGGAUAAUGGAACAAGACAUUGGGUCUAUUUUGUUGGUUUUUUAGAACUAAUGUAAUGAUUAAAAGGGAUAGUUGGGGGCAUUAGUAUUUAAUUGUCAGAGGUGAAAUUCUUGGAUUUAUGAAAGACUAACUUCUGCGAAAGCAUUUGUCAAAGAUGUUUUCAUUAAUCAAGAACGAAAGUUAGGGGAUCGAAGACGAUCAGAUACCGUCGUAGUCUUAACCAUAAACUAUGCCGACGGAAGUAUGGAAGUACAUUUUUUUGGAUAUUACUCUCUCAGCACCUUUUUACGAGAAAUCAUAAGUUUUUGGGUUCUGGGGGGAGUAUGGUCGCAAGGCUGAAACUUAAAGGAAUUGACGGAAGGGCACCACCAGGAGUGGAGCCUGCGGCUUAAUUUGACUCAACACGGGAAAACUUACCAGGUCCAGACACAGUUAGGAUUGACAGAUUGAGAGCUCUUUCUUGAUUCUGUGGUUGGUGGUGCAUGGCCGUUCUUAGUUGGUGGAGUGAUUUGUCUGGUUAAUUCCGAUAACGAACGAGACCUCAGCCUACUAAUUAGUUGUAAUAAUGAUAACGUUAUGAUUGGAAUGAGUCUCGAUUAGGAAACUCGUUUUCAUUUUUAUCAGAUUAUGGUAAAACAUAAUUUUUACUUCUUAGAGGGACACUUGGUGUUUAACCAAGGGAAGUUUGAGGCAAUAACAGGUCUGUGAUGCCCUUUAGAUGUUCUGGGCUGCACGCGCGCUACACUGAUACAAUCAACAAGCACAAAAGACCUCAUCCGAAAGGAUUGGGUAAACUUAUGAAAUUGUAUCGUGCUGGGGAUCGAUAAUUGCAAUUAUUUAUCGUGAACGAGGAAUUCCUAGUAAGCACAAGUCAACAGCUUGUGCUGAUUACGUCCCUGCCCUUUGUACACACCGCCCGCCGCUGCUACCGAUGUUUAAUGGUGCGGUGAAUUCUUAUGAUUGAGAACAGUUAUUGAUU